ACUACGGGUGGCAGCAGUGAGGCAUAUUGGUCAAUGGGCGGAAGCCUGAACCAGCCAAGUAGCGUGCAGGAUGACGGCCCUACGGGUUGUAAACUGCUUUUAUACGGGAAUAACGCGCCUUACGUGUAGGGCUUUGCAUGUACCGUAUGAAUAAGGACCGGCUAAUUCCGUGCCAGCAGCCGCGGUAAUACGGAAGGUCCGGGCGUUAUCCGGUUUUAUUGGGUUUAAAGGGAGUGUAGGCCGCAUGUCCAGCGUGCUGUGAAAUUUCCGGGCUCAACCCGGGCCUUGCAGCGCGAACCGGCGAGCUUGAGUCCGCGGAAAGCAGGCGGAAUUCGUGGUGUAGCGGUGAAAUGCUUAGAUAUGACGAAGAACCCCGAUUGCGAAGGCAGCUUGCUGCAGCGGAACUGACGCUGAUGCUCGAAAGCGCGGGUAUCGAACAGGAUUAGAUACCCCUGUAGUC
Molecule: ribosomal RNA, 460 nt
Filed under: uncultured bacterium
Lineage: Bacteria
Description: partial 16S ribosomal RNA
Rfam family: Bacterial small subunit ribosomal RNA
Source: RNAcentral